This 411-nucleotide ribosomal RNA is filed under the name Janthinobacterium lividum. RNAcentral describes it as "bacterial SSU rRNA". It matches the Rfam family "Bacterial small subunit ribosomal RNA", at positions 602 to 1013 of the family's 1533-position model. Lineage: Bacteria; Pseudomonadati; Pseudomonadota; Betaproteobacteria; Burkholderiales; Oxalobacteraceae. The record is from RNAcentral.
CCCGGGCUCAACCUGGGAANUGCANUGGAGACUGCAAGGCUAGAAUCUGGCAGAGGGGGGUAGAAUUCCACGUGUAGCAGUGAAAUGCGUAGAUAUGUGGAGGAACACCGAUGGCGAAGGCAGCCCCCUGGGUCAAGAUUGACGCUCAUGCACGAAAGCGUGGGGAGCAAACAGGAUUAGAUACCCUGGUAGUCCACGCCCUAAACGAUGUCUACUAGUUGUCGGGUCUUAAUUGACUUGGUAACGCAGCUAACGCGUGAAGUAGACCGCCUGGGGAGUACGGUCGCAAGAUUAAAACUCAAAGGAAUUGACGGGGACCCGCACAAGCGGUGGAUGAUGUGGAUUAAUUCGAUGCAACGCGAAAAACCUUACCUACCCUUGACAUGGCUGGAAUCCUUGAGAGAUCAGGGA